UGCAAGUCGAGCGGAUUGAUGGGAGCUUGCUCCCUGAUAUCAGCGGCGGACGGGUGAGUAACACGUGGGUAACCUGCCUGUAAGACUGGGAUAACUCCGGGAAACCGGGGCUAAUACCGGAUAACUCAUUUCCUCGCAUGAGGAAAUGUUGAAAGGUGGCUUUUAGCUACCACUUACAGAUGGACCCGCGGCGCAUUAGCUAGUUGGUGAGGUAACGGCUCACCAAGGCAACAAUGCGUAGCCAACCUGAAAGGGUGAUCGGCCACACUGGGACUGAAACACGGCCCAAACUCCUACGGGAGGCAGCAGUAGGGAAUCUUCCGCAAUGGACAAAAGUCUGACGGAGCAACGCCGCGUGAGUGAUGAAGGUUUUCGGAUCGUAAAGCUCUGUUGUUAGGGAAAAACAAGUGCCGUUCAAAUAGGGCGGCACCUUGACGGUACCUAACCAGAAAGCCACGGCUAACUACGUGCCAGCAGCCGCGGUAAUACGUAGGUGGCAAGCGUUGUCCGGAAUUAUUGGGCGUAAAGCGCGCGCAGGUGGUUCCUUAAGUCUGAUGUGAAAGCCCACGGCUCAACCGUGAAGGGUCAUUGGAAACUGGGGAACUUGAGUGCAGAAAAGGAAAGUGGAAUUCCAAGUGUAGCGGUGAAAUGCGUAGAUAUUUGGAGGAACACCAGUGGCGAAGGCGACUUUCUGGUCUGUAACUGACACUGAGGCGCGAAGCGUGGGGAGCAAACAGAAUUAGAUACCCUGUUAGUCCACGCCGUAAACGAUGAGUGCUAAGUGUUAGGGGGUUUCCGCCCCUUAGUGCUGCAGCUAACGCAUUAAGCACUCGGCCUGGGGAGUACGGUCGCAAGACUGAAACUCAAAGGAAUUGACGGGGGCCCGCACAAGCGGUGGAGCAUGUGUUUAAUUCGAAGCAACGCGAAGACCUUACCAGGUCUGACAUCCUCUGACAACCCUAG
RNAcentral lists this ribosomal RNA (963 nucleotides) under Rossellomorea vietnamensis. Its description in RNAcentral is "bacterial SSU rRNA". It matches the Rfam family "Bacterial small subunit ribosomal RNA", at positions 56 to 1003 of the family's 1533-position model. Lineage: Bacteria; Bacillati; Bacillota; Bacilli; Caryophanales; Bacillaceae. The record is from RNAcentral.